Phoenix dactylifera (date palm) is the source of this 1041-nucleotide non-coding RNA. NCBI's taxonomy places the organism in Eukaryota, Viridiplantae, Streptophyta, Magnoliopsida, Arecales, Arecaceae. The record is from RefSeq and is a predicted model, not a curated record.
UCUGGGAACUGCAUCAUUAGAGCCUAGAGAUUGAAUGAAAAUCAGAGACUCAUUCAGAGGUUCAGAACAAGUAACUGGGAGGAUCAAGAUAAAAGGCCUGGCAUGAUCUAGUAUCUCGACCAGCUGACUGAUUCUUCCUGUCCAUGAAUUAUCCUGAGGAUCUUUUCAGGAAUAGAAUAAUAAUAUUGAUCUGGAAAUUUUGAAAGAACCUACAAUGGAAGCCAUUUGCACCACAUUCUUUUUUUUUGAGUAGUUUAUUAAAAUAUUUGUUGCUAAAAUGUACAGCUGAUAUUGGAAUACCACCAGAGCAGAACAUUGUUGACCAUCAUCCUAACUUUUUGUCUUUUAUGAGUAACAAAGAAGUAUAUUAGACUGAAACAAGGAUGUAGAGAGAGAAGUCAAAAGCUUGAGAGGGUCCGGUCAGCCACUGGAAUCGGUUAGUAGGCUCAUCUUGGUUAGAUGAAAAUGGGGUGCUUCAAGGUAGCCAUCUCGGUAUUGGGCCCUAUAUCGGUCCCACCCUAUUACUGCGUCUAUAUAUUUAGUACGGAGGCCGGUUUGGUGUAUCAUGUUAGUACGCCUCUCAUACCACAUAUCGGUAUGAUAUGGUAUGGUGUACCUUGGUGUACUUGAAUAAUUAGAAUUGCUAGAACAACUAAGGCCUAGUCAUUAAAGUAAAAUAUGCCUUAAUAUCUAUGUUAAUUAUAAGCUGAAUCUAUCUCAAAUGCUCUAAAUCCUAUUUGUUCUGCCAAUGCUUUACAUCUCUUACCAUACUAGGUCUGAACCUUUUUGGGCGGGUCCCAAUUUUGAGCGCGUACCAUGAAUAAUUGAAAGUUAGGAAGCUUAGAUAGUGAGCUACAUUUCAUGUAUGAAACAUUGCAACCUGCAAUUACACCUUAAUUAUGGUGAUGCACUUGGGUGGGUAUUUCUGCUGGUUUUUUUAUGUUUUAGUGGCUUGAGUCACUGUUUUGCCGGUGCUUCCUUUUGUUUCAUCAAUUCAUCUCUUCAAUGAAAUAUUGGGAUCCCCACCUUUGCUCAAGAUGA